This 301-nucleotide ribosomal RNA is filed under the name uncultured bacterium. Its description in RNAcentral is "partial 16S ribosomal RNA". It matches the Rfam family "Bacterial small subunit ribosomal RNA", at positions 509 to 807 of the family's 1533-position model. The record is from RNAcentral.
CAGCAGCCGCGGUAGUACGAAGGGGGCUAGCGUUGCUCGGAAUGACUGGGCGUAAAGGGCGCGUAGGCGGCGAUCAAAGUCAGGCGUGAAAUUCCUGGGCUUAACCUGGGAACUGCAUUUGUGACUGGCGGGCUAGAGUAUGGCAGAGGGGGGUAGAAUUCCACGUGUAGCAGUGAAAUGCGUAGAGAUGUGGAGGAAUACCGAUGGCGAAGGCAGCCCCCUGGGCCAAUACUGACGCUCAUGCACGAAAGCGUGGGGAGCAAACAGGAUUAGAUACCCCUGUAGUCCCUGUCUCUUAUAC